This 446-nucleotide ribosomal RNA is filed under the name uncultured bacterium. Its description in RNAcentral is "bacterial SSU rRNA". It matches the Rfam family "Bacterial small subunit ribosomal RNA", at positions 330 to 795 of the family's 1533-position model. The record is from RNAcentral.
ACCAGACUCCUACGGGAGGCAGCAGUGGGGAAUAUUGCACAAUGGGGGAAACCCUGAUGCAGCGACGCCGCGUGAGUGAAGAAGUAAUUCGUUAUGUAAAGCUCUAUCAGCAGGGAAGAAAAUGACGGUACCUGAGUAAGAAGCCCCGGCUAACUACGUGCCAGCAGCCGCGGUAAUACGUAGGGGGCAAGCGUUAUCCGGAUUUACUGGGUGUAAAGGGAGCGUAGACGGCAGUGCAAGUCUGGAGUGAAAGGCGGGGGCUCACCCUGCGUCCGCCGUUGAAACUGGCGUUCUUGAGUGGGCGAGAAGUACGCGGAAUGCGUGGUGUAGCGGUGAAAUGCAUAGAUAUCACGCAGAACCCCGAUUGCGAAGGCAGCGUACCGGCGCCCAACUGACGCUGAAGCACGAAAGCGUGGGUAUCGAACAGGAUUAGAUACCCUUGUAAC